Long non-coding RNA from Cyprinus carpio (common carp), 807 nucleotides. The record is from Ensembl. Lineage: Eukaryota; Metazoa; Chordata; Actinopteri; Cypriniformes; Cyprinidae.
CUGUGGGGCAUUUUUUUUUUUUUUAAAGGUGCUUCUUGAUUCAAGUUCCUCCAUGGGUGAGGAGUGUUUUGAUAAAGACUGCAAAAUGAAGCGAAUUGAUGCCAUCAAACAAAUAUUUGAUAGCUUUGCAAACCGAUGCAUGGCUUAUAAUUUUGAUCAAGUAAUCUGCCUUGUGAAAUUCGACUUUCGUGUGAAAACUCUUCAUACAUUCACAGAAACAGUGGAAACAUUUAAGGAGCAUGUUCAUGGACUUCAGCCAUCUGGAACCACUUUAUUGUAUGAUGCUUUAAAUCAUGGAUGCCAAGAACUUAACCAAAUCAGACAGAGAUUUCCAGAUUGCAAAUGUCGCAUUUUAUGCCUGACAGAUGGAAAUGAUUGCGGAUCAAUAUCGAAUCCGGUUGACACUGCAAAAAAGCUGAUGGAUCAGAAAAUUGUUGUUGAUGCUGUGCUAAUUGGUGCAGUACAUAACACUGUGUUGCAUGGGAUCAGCAAUGUUACAGGUAACUUUUUAUAUAUACAAUAGGUAACAAGUCUUUUUAUACAGCUAUACUCAAUAUUGUGUUCAUUAGCUAAUUAUUGCUGCUAAAUUCUUUGUUUUGAGGUGGUUGCUGUUUUAAGCCUGAAACAAGCAAAGCAGCCUUGCAACUCUUUGAGAUGGAAACAGUCUUGUCAUUGGAACUAAGGAAGGAAAAGAAAUACUUUGAUAAAUCAUCAAUUAACAAAGUGGUAUAAUAUAGGACAUGGUUAUAUUUCAGUCAUAUAUAUACAGGUGCAUCUCAAUAAAUUAGAAUGUCAUGGAAAAGUUCA